GAUGAACGCUGGCGGCGUGCCUAAUACAUGCAAGUCGACCGAACGGACGAGAAGCUUGCUUCUCUGAUGUUAGCGGCGGACGGGUGAGUAACACGUGGAUAACCUACCUAUAAGACUGGGAUAACUUCGGGAAACCGGAGCUAAUACCGGAUAAUAUUUUGAACCGCAUGAUUCAAAAGUGAAAGACGGUCUUGCUGUCACUUAUAGAUGGAUCCGCGCUGCAUUAGCUAGUUGGUAAGGUAACGGCUUACCAAGGCAACGAUGCAUAGCCGACCUGAGAGGGUGAUCGGCCACACUGGAACUGAGACACGGUCCAGACUCCUACGGGAGGCAGCAGUAGGGAAUCUUCCGCAAUGGGCGAAAGCCUGACGGAGCAACGCCGCGUGAGUGAUGAAGGUCUUCGGAUCGUAAAACUCUGUUAUUAGGGAAGAACAUAUGUGUAAGUAACUGUGCACAUCUUGACGGUACCUAAUCAGAAAGCCACGGCUAACUACGUG
Molecule: ribosomal RNA, 497 nt
Filed under: uncultured bacterium
Lineage: Bacteria
Description: partial 16S ribosomal RNA
Rfam family: Bacterial small subunit ribosomal RNA
Source: RNAcentral